UCUUUUUCUUUAGAGAUUUUGAAGUUUCUGACAUACUCUUUGUAAGAAUUUCAAAAUUCUCAUCAGUGGAACAUUGACAGUAUGUAAUUUCAGUAUAUUUUCUUCUCUUUACUGCCUCAGUACAUUCGUUAUCCCACCAAGGAGGAGAAGGAAUAAAACCCAAAGAGCUAUUUUUACUUGGAAAAAUCUCAUUGGCAACCUCAAUAAAGAUUCUUGCUAAAGAAUCUGCACACUGAGAUUCUGUACCUGGAUUAAUUUUUGGAAGUGUUGGAAAUGAUAAUAAUAGUGGGAGGUGAUCACUACCAAAAGUAGAUCGUAAUGGAUCCCAGGACAAAGAAGAAGCAAGAUUAGGUGUAGUGACUGUUAAAUCUGGAGCACUUGGGCCCUCGUCAGGAUGAGAACGUCGUGUAGGACGACCAUCAUUUAAUAUACACAAAUUCACUGAAUCAAAUAUAUCUAUUAAUGUGUUACCAUAACUAUUAGAAGAUAAGUAACCCCAGGAUUCAUGGCGACAGUUAAAAUCACCAAGGAUCAUAAAAGGCUUCGGAAGAAUGGAAAUAAUAUCUUUAAUUUCAUUUAAGAUUGCAGAAGAAGGAUGAGGUAUAUAAAUAGAUACAUAACAGAUAUUUUCAACUAAAGCAGCAAUAAUAGAAAAAUCAUUACUGUGAGAAGGAAUAGAGAAGAGAGAAAAGGAAAGAGGGUGUUUCACAAGCAUGGCUACUCCGCCAUGCCCAUCCACACGAUCUUCUCUGAGACAUGAAUAACCACGAAUCUUAAAUAAAGAUCCUGGUUUCAACCAUGUCUCUUGAAGAGCACAGAUAUAAGGUUUAUAUUUAUUUAAUAAAUAAAUAAGAUCACUUUUUUUAGGAGUGAUGCUUUGACAAUUCCAUUGAAGAACUUUGUCCAUUAUUUGGUUUAUAAAUUUGAGUAAUUGCAGAAACUAAUAAGGCAGCGUUGGACGGUGAAAAUUCAUUCGAUUGACUAAGAGAUUUUAUAAGAGAAAUAAUUAAAUCAAUUACUGAGGAUUCCAAA
Molecule: long non-coding RNA, 1032 nt
Organism: Leptidea sinapis
Lineage: Eukaryota; Metazoa; Arthropoda; Insecta; Lepidoptera; Pieridae
Exons: 2
Source: RefSeq, a predicted model, not a curated record